AGUGAACGCUGGCGGUAGGCCUAACACAUGCAAGUCGAACGGCAGCACAGUAAGAGCUUGCUCUUACGGGUGGCGAGUGGCGGACGGGUGAGGAAUACAUCGGAAUCUACUUUUUCGUGGGGGAUAACGUAGGGAAACUUACGCUAAUACCGCAUACGACCUACGGGUGAAAGCAGGGGAUCUUCGGGCCUUGCGCGAUUGAAUGAGCCGAUGUCGGAUUAGCUAGUUGGCGGGGUAAAGGCCCACCAAGGCGACGAUCCGUAGCUGGUCUGAGAGGAUGAUCAGCCACACUGGAACUGAGACACGAUCCAGACUCCUACGGGAGGCAGCAGUGGGGAAUAUUGGACAAUGGGCGCAAGCCUGAUCCAGCCAUACCGCGUGGGUGAAGAAGGCCUUCGGGUUGUAAAGCCCUUUUGUUGGGAAAGAAAAGCAGCAGGUUAAUACCCCGCUGUUCUGACGGUACCCAAAGAAUAAGCACCGGCUAACUUCGUG
This 492-nucleotide ribosomal RNA is filed under the name uncultured bacterium. RNAcentral describes it as "partial 16S ribosomal RNA". It matches the Rfam family "Bacterial small subunit ribosomal RNA", at positions 29 to 507 of the family's 1533-position model. The record is from RNAcentral.